Molecule: ribosomal RNA, 253 nt
Filed under: uncultured bacterium
Lineage: Bacteria
Description: partial 16S ribosomal RNA
Rfam family: Bacterial small subunit ribosomal RNA
Source: RNAcentral
UACAGAGGGUGCAAGCGUUAAUCGGAAUUACUGGGCGUAAAGGGCUCGUAGGCGGCCAACUAAGUCAGACGUGAAAUCCCUCAGCUUAACUGGGGAACUGCGUCUGAUACUGGAUGGCUUGGAUUCGGGAGAGGAAUGCGGAAUUCCAGGUGUAGCGGUGAAAUGCGUAGAUAUCGGAAGGAACAUCAGUGGCGAAAGCGGCUUCCUGGACCAGCACCGACGUUCAGGCACGAAAGCGUGGGGAGCAAACAGG